This 498-nucleotide ribosomal RNA is filed under the name uncultured bacterium. RNAcentral's name for it is "partial 16S ribosomal RNA". It matches the Rfam family "Bacterial small subunit ribosomal RNA", at positions 30 to 523 of the family's 1533-position model. The record is from RNAcentral.
AUUGAACGCUGGCGGCAUGCCUUACACAUGCAAGUCGAACGGUAACAGGUCUUCGGAUGCUGACGAGUGGCGAACGGGUGAGUAAUAUAUCGGAACGUGCCCAGUAGUGGGGGAUAACUGCUCGAAAGAGCAGCUAAUACCGCAUACGACCUGAGGGUGAAAGGGGGGGAUCGCAAGACCUCUCGCUAUUGGAGCGGCCGAUAUCAGAUUAGCUAGUUGGUGGGGUAAAGGCCUACCAAGGCAACGAUCUGUAGUUGGUCAGAGAGGACGACCAGCCACACUGGGACUGAGACACGGCCCAGACUCCUACGGGAGGCAGCAGUGGGGAAUUUUGGACAAUGGGCGCAAGCCUGAUCCAGCAAUGCCGCGUGCAGGAAGAAGGCCUUCGGGUUGUAAACUGCUUUUGUCAGGGAAGAAAUCUUCUGGGCUAAUACCCCGGGAGGAUGACGGUACCUGAAGAAUAAGCACCGGCUAACUACGUGCCAGCCGCCGCCGUAA